UCUGGACAGGAUUACAAGAGGUUACGUAUAAAUAGGCUGACAAAUCCACUAGAUGCAUUCAAUUCGUUUGUCGCUUCCAAUCGGUGAAGAAAGCAGCUCCUACCUAUCAUCAUCAUGUUUAGAUUCUUGGUGAUUUGUGGUUGCUUGCUGGCGGUUGGACAAGCUGGCGUGAUCGGCGGUGGUUUGCUCGCAACCGCGCCCGCAGCGGUCGCGGUGCAGCCAGCGGCAGCAGCGGCUCUUCCUCUGUCCACUGCAGCAGCCCUUCCUCUGCCCACAGCCGCGCUCGCCGUACCAACUAUCGCAACAUCGACCUCUAACGUGAUACGGGGUAUCGGUAACUUAGGUGCCAUAUCGGCCUACGCAAAGAGCGUAGAUACGCCGUUCAGUAGCGUCAGGAAAGCGGACGUGCGCGUUAACAAUCCUGGAAUCGUGACGGCGACCGCUGUGCCCGCCCCGGUAGUUGCGGUCGCAAAUACCGCUCUUGCAGCUCCAGUGGCUACAGCAGCUGUUGCCGCUCCUGCGCUUCUCGCACCUGGACUGACCACCGCAAUCGGAGCCGCACCCGCUCUCACCGCAGGUUUAACUCCUCUGGGGCUUAACGGGCUUGGAGCUUUGCAGGGAUUAGGAGCCGUCAAGGUUCUUUAAGGUCCACACGCUCGAACCACUACGAAGCGGCGGAGGAUUCGACUAAAACAACGACCGAUUAUGAAACACGUUGAAACAUUCGUUUCGAUGGCGAAUCGUUUUUACUAUCUAAACGAUCAACUUUGUCACAGAAUGCCUAACGUAUUCGCGAAUCCAAGUCAGAUAAUAGCGAUUACUUCGUGGGAAUAGACCUGUGCCAAGUGGUAAUCAUAUAUCUGAACAUUGUUGUGUGAUUGCAAUAGAUUCUUCGAUUUAUGUACUAUGUGUAUUCUCGGUCAACAGAAGAUAUAGCGAACAUCUAGCAAGAUAUAACAGAAUCAACGCUAGCCGACAAUACCUAACAAAUAUGAAAUUAAAGGCGGAGGGGGAAGGAAAAUAUAAGGCGCAACUUGUUACGUUUCAAUACAUUUCGUAUUUAAUAAAUAGAAAGUAAAAGAAA
RNA transcript from Bombus pascuorum, 1084 nucleotides. It is a transcript of the gene named pupal cuticle protein C1B-like, with no coding region annotated. The transcript is spliced from 4 exons. NCBI's taxonomy places the organism in Eukaryota, Metazoa, Arthropoda, Insecta, Hymenoptera, Apidae. The record is from RefSeq and is a predicted model, not a curated record.